UUUCUAAACACAUUUUUACUUUUAUGAAGCAACAAAUUUCAUUUUUCACCGAUGUACAACAAAAGUUUUUACUAACAAGUCCAUUUCCAUCACAUUGAAAAUCACAUUUUUAUUGUAGUAGACCCUCAAGGGUUUUGACGUCAUUGAGAUCCUGUUUCCCACCUUAAAAUCCAAAAGCCAAGAUGUUGAUUAGGAUGUUUAUUUAAAACAUGUGACAUGAAAAAAUAUUAUGAUAACUAGAGCUUACCGGUGUAACAAAUCAGUAGUAACAGGAGAAUUACCAUCGUAUGUGAUUUCACAUGCUGCAUCAUUGUGCGCUUGGCAAUCAACCAAGUGGAACAAAUGACGUGGAUGUAAUCCAAGUAGCCUGAGACGAGUACUAAACACUCACUACUCAAAGAAAAACUAGAUUUAUUCAUUUAAAAGCUUGGGAAAUUGUGAUGACUCAUGAUAAAUGGGUACCCAAUCUAUUAGUUGAUCUUGAUGGCCCAGCGGGGUUCUCAAAAAAGAUAUUAAAACGCUGAGUUGCAAAAUUACACAACCUCAACGGAUGCUUAUCAAACAACAUUCUCGAUAUCAAUUUAAAUGACGACACAACACCAAGAAUGCUGCAACAGAGGAAAAGUUUCGAGUAGUCAAGCAAGGGAAAGAAGGUUGGGUGAAUUCCAUGCACGAAUUCAAGUUGGCAAAAAUGUUGGAUAUAGUGGAGAAUAGAGAACAACACAAGUUAUUGGCGGAUAUAAAGUUAACAAGAUAAGUACAACAUAUGAAAUACUUCGUUGAGAUCGAGAAGAGUAAAUAUUUGAACGUUUUGAGCCAACCGCAUGAAAACACCGAAGAACCGUAUGGGUUGAUUCUCAUAGA
This 864-nucleotide long non-coding RNA is filed under the name Helianthus annuus (common sunflower). RNAcentral's name for it is "sRNA HanXRQr2_Chr02g0046931". Lineage: Eukaryota; Viridiplantae; Streptophyta; Magnoliopsida; Asterales; Asteraceae. The record is from RNAcentral.